UACGAGAGGCCCAAACGUUAUUCGGAAUUACUGGGCUUAAAGAGUUCGUAGGCGGCGCAGAAAGUAGGGUGUGAAAGCCCUCGGCUCAACCGAGGAAUUGCGCUCUAAACUACUGUGCUUGAGGAAUCUAGAGGUGAGCGGAACUGAUGGUGGAGCGGUGAAAUGCGUUGAUAUCAUCAGGAACACCGGUGGCGAAAGCGGCUUACUGGGUCUCUUCUGACGCUGAGGUACGAAAGCUAGGGUAGCGAACGGG
RNAcentral lists this ribosomal RNA (253 nucleotides) under uncultured bacterium. Its description in RNAcentral is "partial 16S ribosomal RNA". It matches the Rfam family "Bacterial small subunit ribosomal RNA", at positions 524 to 776 of the family's 1533-position model. The record is from RNAcentral.